RNAcentral lists this ribosomal RNA (373 nucleotides) under uncultured organism. RNAcentral describes it as "partial 16S ribosomal RNA". It matches the Rfam family "Bacterial small subunit ribosomal RNA", at positions 527 to 896 of the family's 1533-position model. The record is from RNAcentral.
GUAGGUGGCAAGCGUUGUCCGGAAUUAUUGGGGCGUAAGCGCGCGCAGGCGGUUCUUUAAGUCUGAUGUGAAAGCCCACGGGCUCAACCGUGGAGGGUCAUUGGAAACUGGAGAACUUGAGUACAGAAGAGGAAAGCGGAAUUCCACGUGUAGCGGUGAAAUGCGUAGAGAUGUGGAGGAACACCAGUGGCGAAGGCGGCUUUCUGGUCUGUAACUGACGCUGAGGCGCGAAAGCGUGGGGAGCAAACAGGAUUAGAUACCCUGGUAGUCCACGCCGUAAACGAUGAGUGCUAAGUGUUAGGGGGUUUCCGCCCCUUAGUGCUGCAGCUAACGCAUUAAGCACUCCGCCUGGGGAGUACGGCCGCAAAGGCUG